AGAGUUUGAUCCUGGCUCAGAACGAACGCUGGCGGCGUGCCUAACACAUGCAAGUCGAGCGAGAAAGCCCGCAAGGGUGAGUAAAGCGGCGCACGGGUGCGUAACACGUGGGUAAUCUGCCCUGAAGUCCGGAAUAACUCGCCGAAAGGCGUGCUAAUGCCGGAUGAGACCACGGGAGCCUCGGCUCCUGCGGGAAAAGGUGGCCUCUGUACACAAGCUAUCACUUCAGGAUGAGCCCGCGGCCCAUCAGCUCGUUGGCGGGGUAAUGGCCCACCAAGGCUACGACGGGUAGCUGGUCUGAGAGGACGAUCAGCCACACUGGAACUGAGACACGGUCCAGACUCCUACGGGAGGCAGCAGUGGGGAAUCUUGCGCAAUGGGCGAAAGCCUGACGCAGCAACGCCGCGUGUGUGAUGAAGGUCUUCGGAUCGUAAAGCACUGUCGCGAGGGACGAAUAAGGGGCGGGCUAACAUCCCGUUCCGAUGACGGUACCUCGAGAGGAAGCACCGGCUAACUCUGUGCCAGCAGCCGCGGUAAUACAGAGGGUGCAAGCGUUGUUCGGAAUUAUUGGGCGUAAAGCGCGUGUAGGCGGCCAUGCAAGUCGGGUGUGAAAGCCCUCGGCUUAACCGAGGAAGUGCGCCCGAAACUACAUGGCUUGAGUACCGGAGAGGGUGGCGGAAUUCCCGGUGUAGAGGUGAAAUUCGUAGAUAUCGGGAGGAACACCAGCGGCGAAGGCGGCCACCUGGACGGAUACUGACGCUGAGACGCGAAAGCGUGGGGGAGCAAACAGGAUUAGAUACCCUGGUAGUCCACGCCCGUAACGAUGAGCGCUAGGUGUUGUGGGUGUUGACCCCUGCAGUGCCGCAGCUAACGCAUUAAGCGCUCCGCCUGGGAAGUACGGCCGCCAGGCUAAAACUCAAGAAUUGACGGGGCCCGCACAGCGGUGAAGCAUGUGUUUAAUUCGACGCACGCGCAGAACCUUACCUGGUCUUGGACAUCAUG
RNAcentral lists this ribosomal RNA (1002 nucleotides) under uncultured Anaeromyxobacter sp. Its description in RNAcentral is "bacterial SSU rRNA". It matches the Rfam family "Bacterial small subunit ribosomal RNA", at positions 8 to 992 of the family's 1533-position model. Lineage: Bacteria; Pseudomonadati; Myxococcota; Myxococcia; Myxococcales; Anaeromyxobacteraceae. The record is from RNAcentral.